Molecule: long non-coding RNA, 697 nt
Filed under: Homo sapiens (human)
Lineage: Eukaryota; Metazoa; Chordata; Mammalia; Primates; Hominidae
Description: non-protein coding ZNF503-AS2:30
Source: RNAcentral
ACUCCGCACGGGUACCGAGAACUUUCCGGGGUGAGUUUUAGAAUUUGCUCCUAGGCAUUCUUUUUCUGCGUUUGGAUUUUAUCCCUUGAUUCUUUGGGUUGGUAAACUUUAUGAAAUGGUAACUUGACUGAAGCUCAUUUGGAGAGAAGAGGGGAGUGAGGCGGUGUGUGCUUGGGGCUGGUGUUUGUCAGUGUGAGCGUGUAAGAGCACACCUGCAUUCAAGGGGGUUUGUAGUGUCCGUGCGACAUCUGAGGGAGAAUCGACGGGAUUUCUCUGGCUGUCGUUUGCGCUGCAUUUAUCCGAAUACAUCCAGCUCGCAGGCAUCCUGCAAGAAACGGCUCCCGGCUCGCGUGUACGCCGACACCUCGGCCCAACGCAGGACUCGAGGUGGUUUCUAGUGCCCGGGUGGCUGCAAGUCUGCCCUCCGAGGGAGGCUGGACAAGCGGCGCCCCCAGGUCGAGCGGCCUCUCGCUGCCUGGCAGUGCCUGGCAGCCCCCACCUCUGCCAGUGCUUCGGAAACCCGCCUGGCCAGGUUCGCCCGCGGUGAAAAAUGAAAGCAAAUUCCCCAACAGAGGUAGCCGGAACUUUCCUCGACGAAGGCUCCCUCCUGCGCCUGUGUCUGGAGAACCCCCAGAGCGCUGCAAGUUAGCAAGAGAGAUUCGAUGGCGGCUCUGGAAGGCGCACGAAGGGUGGGGCG